GGGGAAUUUUCCGCAAUGGGCGAAAGCCUGACGGAGCAAUACCGCGUGAGGGAUGACGGCCUAUGGGUUGUAAACCUCUUUUUUCAGGGUAGGAAUCAAUGACGUGUACCUGAAGAAUAAGCAUCGGCUAACUCCGUGCCAGCAGCCGCGGUAAGACGGAGGAUGCAAGUGUUAUCCGGAAUCACUGGGCGUAAAGCGUCUGUAGGUGGUUAAAUAAGUCAACUGUUAAAUCUUGAGGCUCAACCUCAAAAUCGCAGUCGAAACUGUUAGACUAGAGUAUAGUAGGGGUAAAGGGAAUUUCCAGUGGAGCGGUG
Molecule: ribosomal RNA, 314 nt
Filed under: uncultured cyanobacterium
Lineage: Bacteria; Bacillati; Cyanobacteriota
Description: bacterial SSU rRNA
Rfam family: Bacterial small subunit ribosomal RNA
Source: RNAcentral